CCAGAGGCCAUGUUGGUAACAGCCUUAGAAGAGGAAAGAGAAGAACCUGGUUGGUGAUGAAGAUAUCAUUCUCUCCAGGAAAGUCCUCCUGGAUUCUGCAAAGGAGAAAGAAAUUGAUUUCCCCUCCAUCGAUGGGAGGAGCCAUCUGAAAGUCUUCUCCUUCAGGUCUCUUGGGAGGGUGAACAACUGUCAUUGGCCUAGAUGGCCCAAGGGCAUUGGAGCAUAUGUAAUGUGCUUCUCCAUAAAGCCACCUAUCUCCAUCCACCGGGAUAGCACUCACAGAGGAAAUGGGCAUGUCCAACCCUUCAAGGACAGAGACAGCAAGGAGAGAGAAGAAAAAAAAGUCUUGUCUUCAUAGAGCUGGGUGAGUGAUUCCUCACGUCCCCUCAUCACGUCAUCCUUCCUUGGGGUGGUGUUCU
This 419-nucleotide long non-coding RNA is filed under the name Phascolarctos cinereus (koala). RNAcentral describes it as "lncRNA (ENSPCIG00000035056.1)". The record is from RNAcentral. Lineage: Eukaryota; Metazoa; Chordata; Mammalia; Diprotodontia; Phascolarctidae.